CCCUUAGAUGUUCUGGGCUGCACGCGCGCUACACUGAAGCGUUCAACGAGUAUUCACCUUGCCCGGGAGGGUUGGGUAAUCUUUUGAAAACGCUUCGUGAUGGGGAUAGAUUAUUGCAAUUAUUAAUCUUCAACGAGGAAUUCCUAGUAAGCGCGAGUCAUCAGCUCGUGCUGAUUACGUCCCUGCCCUUUGUACACACCGCCCGUCGCUCCUACUGAUGAAUGGUCCGAUGAGUAUUCCGGAUGGAGACUGAUUUAGGCUUCGCCUUGCAGCUUCUCCAGAAGUUAUCCAAAUCUUAUCAUUUAGAGGAAGGAGAAGUCGUAACA
Molecule: ribosomal RNA, 326 nt
Filed under: uncultured eukaryote
Lineage: Eukaryota
Description: partial 18S ribosomal RNA
Rfam family: Eukaryotic small subunit ribosomal RNA
Source: RNAcentral